Molecule: long non-coding RNA, 326 nt
Organism: Uloborus diversus
Lineage: Eukaryota; Metazoa; Arthropoda; Arachnida; Araneae; Uloboridae
Exons: 3
Source: RefSeq, a predicted model, not a curated record
CCUGGCUUAGAUGCUUUGGCGCGUAUUGUUAUUGCUAUAUUUGAUGAUUAUUAUUGCACUUUAGCUCUAUUAUUUUUAUCUGAAUUAUCUUGUUUAAACCGAUAACCUGAGAAAUAAUUGAGAAUUGGUGAUUCUGCUGCCAUGUAGAUGUUGUAGAAUAACUUCUUUCACUUCAAAUUUGCAAACUUGAUGAAAAGAAUUUCUUAAAAAUUAUAUCUUAAGCUGUUUUCAACUGCUGAGGAAGUACUUUUCUGAAAAGCAUUGUAAUGUUUAUUGGCAAAUUCAGCUAUCAGCGCAACAUGUGAAGAUAUCGACUUAAAAUCCCC